RNAcentral lists this long non-coding RNA (275 nucleotides) under Elaeis guineensis (African oil palm). Its description in RNAcentral is "long non-coding RNA (EGUI_LNC068728)". The record is from RNAcentral. Lineage: Eukaryota; Viridiplantae; Streptophyta; Magnoliopsida; Arecales; Arecaceae.
AAUCGCAUCCAGUAAAAUCAGCAUUUGAAUAGCUAAUUAGAUUGAUAGAGGAUUGUUUAGAGUAUCAUAAUCCUACAUUAUAUAUUUGAAUAUAUAUCUUAACAUAUUUUAAAUAGCAAUUAAAUAUGAUUUUUUAGGAUUUGAUUAGAAUCCAGAACAUAUGCAUACAUUAAACAUAAUAUCUAGCCUAUUAUAACUUAAGUAAAUUAAGUAAAAAUCUUAUCAUGCCUCUAUAGAGUUUAGGGUCAAUACAUAUACCACUUUCAUCUUGAUCA